GCUUGGGAACAUGCCUUGAGGUGGGGGACAACAGUUGGAAACGACUGCUAAUACCGCAUAAUGUCUACGGACCAAAGGGGGCUUCGGCUCUCGCCUUUAGAUUGGCCCAAGUGGGAUUAGCUAGUUGGUGAGGUAAUGGCUCACCAAGGCGACGAUCCCUAGCUGGUUUGAGAGGAUGAUCAGCCACACUGGGACUGAGACACGGCCCAGACUCCUACGGGAGGCAGCAGUGGGGAAUCUUGCGCAAUGGGCGAAAGCCUGACGCAGCAACGCCGCGUGCGGGAAGACGGCCCUCGGGUU
RNAcentral lists this ribosomal RNA (300 nucleotides) under uncultured Pseudoalteromonas sp. RNAcentral's name for it is "bacterial SSU rRNA". It matches the Rfam family "Bacterial small subunit ribosomal RNA", at positions 115 to 424 of the family's 1533-position model. The record is from RNAcentral. Lineage: Bacteria; Pseudomonadati; Pseudomonadota; Gammaproteobacteria; Alteromonadales; Pseudoalteromonadaceae.